GAUGAACGCUGGCGGCGUGCUUAACACAUGCAAGUCGAACGGUGAAGCAGAGCUUGCUCUGUGGAUCAGUGGCGAACGGGUGAAUAACACGUGAGCAACCUGCCCCUGACUCUGGGAUAAGCGCUGGAAACGGCGUCUAAUACUGGAUAUGAGCUGCGACCGCAUGGUCAGCAGUUGGAAAGAUUUUUCGGUCUGGGAUGGGCUCACGGCCUAUCAGCUUGUUGGUGAGGUAAUGGCUCACCAAGGCGUCGACGGGUAGCCGGCCUGAGAGGGUGACCGGCCACACUGGGACUGAGACACGGCCCAGACUCCUACGGGAGGCAGCAGUGGGGAAUAUUGCACAAUGGGCGAAAGCCUGAUGCAGCAACGCCGCGUGAGGGAUGACGGCCUUCGGGUUGUAAACCUCUUUUAGCAGGGAAGAAGCGAAAGUGACGGUACCUGCAGAAAAAGCGCCGGCUAACUACGUG
This 467-nucleotide ribosomal RNA is filed under the name uncultured bacterium. Its description in RNAcentral is "partial 16S ribosomal RNA". It matches the Rfam family "Bacterial small subunit ribosomal RNA", at positions 28 to 507 of the family's 1533-position model. The record is from RNAcentral.